Canis lupus familiaris (dog) is the source of this 1140-nucleotide long non-coding RNA. RefSeq lists it as uncharacterized. The record is from RefSeq and is a predicted model, not a curated record. Lineage: Eukaryota; Metazoa; Chordata; Mammalia; Carnivora; Canidae. The transcript is spliced from 3 exons.
ACACUCAGCACAGAGCCAGAUGUGGGGCUCAUUCUCACAACCCUGAGAUCAUGACCUGAGUCACAAUUAAGUCAUCUGCUUAACUGACUGAGCCACCCAGGUGCUCUUUAGACUUUCUUUAUCUUAGGUGGGACAAGAAGCAAGGAAGUGAUAUGAUCAGAUUGUAUUUUAAUGACCUUCCGUUAGCUGCUGUGAGGAGAAUGGAAAGGCAGAAUGUAAAAGACAAGUGGGUAGUUCAGCUAGGAGACCAUUUAGUUCUCUGGAUGACAAAGUAAUUCGUACUAGAAUGUGGACAGUGGAAAUGGAGAGAAGUGAUUCAGAUGGAUAUGCUAUAGAAGUAGAAUUAGUAAGAUUUGGGGAAAGGAUUGAAUGUGAGAGGGGUGGGGUAAAGGUAUCAAGGAUAUGCCCAGGUUUCUGCCAAAAGCUUCUUGGCCAAGGGCAGUGACAUUUACAGAUUCAAUGAAUCUGGAUGUAGAGCAGAUCAGUGAAGGAGAGCAAGAAUUCAGUCUUAUUGAUUUCUAGAGAUCUUUAUAAAUAAUAGAUAUAAAUUUCCAAUUUAUAAAUUCAAGCUGAAUAAAAUGUUUAUCUAAUGUAAAUUUGUAUAUUCAACUAAAAAAGCAACUGGCAAUUCAAUUGUGAAUAUUACAUCUGCAGAGAGAGAAAGAGAAAAAAAAGAGAAAAUUCCUCUAUUGGCAUAAUAUUAACUAAGCUUUUCUGUGUGAAAUAACUUAGGCCAUGAUAGAGGCAUCUUGAGUAAUAAGAACUUUAUACAGUUUAACCUCUAGCAUGAAUUCAUUCUGAAACAGGAAAGAAUAUUGUCAUUAAAUGUGUCAUUUGAGUUUCUUAGGUCUCAUUUUGUCUUAGAAGAAACUAUCCUCCUCCAUUCCCCAAGGGUCUACACAAUUAAGAGCUUAAGCAAUUACUGGAGUUGGUUCUUACCUUUAAAAAUUACACAAAUGUUCUUAAACAAAAUGGAAGUGAAGCCUACCUGUUGAAAUCUACUUUCCUUUUUCGCAACGGGUUUGCCGCCAGAACACAGGUGUCGUGAAAACCACCGCUAAACCUAAACCAAAAUGGGAAAGGAGAAGACUCACAUCAACAUCGUCGUCAUUGGACACGUAGAUUCGGGCAAGUCUACCA